UACGGAGGAUCCGAGCGUUAUCCGGAUUUAUUGGGUUUAAAGGGUGCGUAGGCGGCCUAUUAAGUCAGGGGUGAAAGACGGUAGCUUAACUAUCGCAGUGCCUUUGAUACUGAUGGGCUUGAAUACACUAGAGGUAGGCGGAAUGUGACAAGUAGCGGUGAAAUGCAUAGAUAUGUCACAGAACACCAAUUGCGAAGGCAGCUUACUAUGGUGCAAUUGACGCUGAGGCACGAAAGCGUGGGGAU
This 245-nucleotide ribosomal RNA is filed under the name uncultured bacterium. RNAcentral describes it as "partial 16S ribosomal RNA". It matches the Rfam family "Bacterial small subunit ribosomal RNA", at positions 524 to 768 of the family's 1533-position model. The record is from RNAcentral.